Molecule: small RNA, 870 nt
Filed under: Pan troglodytes (chimpanzee)
Lineage: Eukaryota; Metazoa; Chordata; Mammalia; Primates; Hominidae
Description: retained intron
Source: RNAcentral
AGAAGACCUCCUUCCUCACGGAGCUCAUCGACCGCUAUAAGCGCUGGAAGUCAGAGGGGCAUGGCGAGGAGUCCAGCUCUGAGGACUCUGACAUGUAGGGACCUGGUUUAUCCUCAUGGUGACCCUAGGUGCUGUGACGUGGGUGGUCCCCACUCCGGAAGCAGGGGCGUGGGCCCUGGGGGUGAGGGUGACCGGAUACAGUGUUGGGCAGGGACCCCCUCAAGGCUGCAGGACGGGGCCUGCUGAGGCAUCAGCUGGACCCGUGGCCUGGCAGAGCCCCGUCUGGUACCUCGGGUUUCCCUUGGCCGUGCGGUGUGCCCUGAGGCCCUCAUGCCUCCUGGCCCUCUCCCCACUGGCCCUGGCAACUCCUCAUCCUCUUCAGUGAUGGCGAGGCGGAGGACGGGGAGCAGGGCCCCAUCUGGACGUUCCCCCCUACCAUCCGGCCGAGUCCACACAGCAAGCUUCACAAGGGGACGGCUCUGCACAGUUCACAGAAGCCUGCGGAGCCCGUCAAGAGGCAGCCGAGGUCCCAGUGCCUGUCCACGCUGGUCCGGCCCGUCUUCGGAGAGCUCAAAGAGAAGCACAAGCAGAGCGGCGGGAGCGUGGGUGCGCUGGAGGAGCUGGAGAACGCCUUCAGCCUGGCCGAGGAGUCCUGCCCCGGCAUCUCAGACAAGCUGAUGGUGCACCUGGUGGAGCGAGUGCAGAGGUUUUCACACAACAGAAACCACCUGACAUCCACCCGCUGAAGCGCGCUGCUGUUCAGAUAGGGGACGGAAGGUCGUUUGUUUUUGUUCUGAGCUCCGUAAGAACUGUGCUGACUUGGAAGGUGCCCUGUGCUGUGUCGUGCCUGCAGGGACACGUCGGAUCCCG